AAGGAUCAUUAGCGAGUGAGGGCCUUUAUAGGCUCGACCUCCAACCCUUUGUCUACCAUACCUCAAGUUGCUUCGGCGGGUCCGUUCUUGGACCGCCGGAGGGCUAUUCGCCCUCUGGCCCGCACCCGCCGACGGCCCUCAACCAAAACUUCUUAACAAAAGAUGUCUGAAUAGUUUGAGAAAAGUCAAUAGUUAAAAACUUUCAACAACGGAUCUCUUGGUUCUGGCAUCGAUGAAGAACGCAGCGAAAUGCGAUAAGUAAUGCGAAUUGCAGAAUCCGUGAGUCAUCGAAUCUUUGAACGCACAUUGCGCCCCUUGGUAUUCCGAGGGGCAUGCCUGUUCGAGCGUCAUUAUCACCCCUCAAGCUUUGGCUUGGUGUUGGGCUACAGGCUGUCUUUUCCCGGCGGCCGGCCUCAAAGACAGUGACGGCGUCCCAGAAGGAACCGGUACGAGGAGCCUUUCCAAGCAUGUACGCGGCAUGAUUCUGUCGGGCGGCGGUCUUUGUACUUAUCAUAUCUAAGUGUUGACCUCGGAUCAGGUAGGAAUACCCGCUGAACUUAA
This 561-nucleotide ribosomal RNA is filed under the name uncultured fungus. RNAcentral describes it as "eukaryotic LSU rRNA". The stretch from base 198 to 350 matches the Rfam family "5.8S ribosomal RNA". Lineage: Eukaryota; Fungi. The record is from RNAcentral.